CCAGACUCCUACGGGAGGCAGCAGUGGGGAAUAUUGGGCAAUGGGCGCAAGCCUGACCCAGCAACGCCGCGUGAAGGAAGAAGGCUUUCGGGUUGUAAACUUCUUUUAAGAGGGAAGAGUAGAAGACGGUACCUCUUGAAUAAGCCACGGCUAACUACGUGCCAGCAGCCGCGGUAAUACGUAGGGGGCAAGCGUUAUCCGGAUUUACUGGGUGUAAAGGGGGCGCAGACGGCGAUGCAAGCCAGGAGUGAAAGCCCGGGGCCCAACCCCGGGACUGCUCUUGGAACUGCGUGGCUGGAGUGCAGGAGGGGCAGGCGGAAUUCCUGGUGUAGCGGUGAAAUGCGUAGAUAUCAGGAGGAACACCGGUGGCGAAGGCGGCUUACUGGACAGUAACUGACGUUGAGGCUCGAAAGCGUGGGGAGCAAACAGGAUUAGAUACCCUCGUACU
RNAcentral lists this ribosomal RNA (448 nucleotides) under uncultured bacterium. Its description in RNAcentral is "bacterial SSU rRNA". It matches the Rfam family "Bacterial small subunit ribosomal RNA", at positions 331 to 794 of the family's 1533-position model. The record is from RNAcentral.